ACGGGUGAGUAACACGUGGGCAACCUACCUUAUAGUUUGGGAUAACUCCGGGAAACCGGGGCUAAUACCAAAUAAUCUCUUUCACUUCAUGGUGGAAGACUGAAAGACGGCAUCUCGCUGUCGCUAUAGGAUGGGCCCGCGGCGCAUUAGCUAGUUGGUGAGGUAACGGCUCACCAAGGCAACGAUGCGUAGCCGACCUGAGAGGGUGAUCGGCCACACUGGGACUGAGACACGGCCCAGACUCAUACGGGAGGCAGCAGUAGGGAAUCUUCCACAAUGGGCGAAAGCCUGAUGGAGCAACGCCGCGUGAGUGAAGAAGGAUUUCGGUUCGUAAAACUCUGUUGUAAGGGAAGAACAAGUACAGUAGUAACUGGCUGUACCUUGACGGUACCUUAUUAGAAAGCCACGGCUAACUACGUGCCAGCAGCCGCGGUAAUACGUAGGUGGCAAGCGUUGUCCGGAAUUAUUGGGCGUAAAGCGCGCGCAGGUGGUUUCUUAAGUCUGAUGUGAAAGCCCACGGCUCAACCGUGGAGGGUCAUUGGAAACUGGGGAACUUGAGUGCAGAAGAGGAUGGUGGAAU
Molecule: ribosomal RNA, 580 nt
Filed under: uncultured bacterium
Lineage: Bacteria
Description: bacterial SSU rRNA
Rfam family: Bacterial small subunit ribosomal RNA
Source: RNAcentral